This 253-nucleotide ribosomal RNA is filed under the name uncultured bacterium. RNAcentral's name for it is "partial 16S ribosomal RNA". It matches the Rfam family "Bacterial small subunit ribosomal RNA", at positions 524 to 776 of the family's 1533-position model. The record is from RNAcentral.
UACAGAGGGUGCGAGCGUUAAUCGGAAUUACUGGGCGUAAAGCGUGCGUAGACGGUUAUGUAAGUCAGAUGUGAAAGCCCCGGGCUCAACCUGGGAAUGGCAUUUGAGACUGCAUAGCUAGGAUGCGGAAGAGGGAAGCGGAAUUUCCGGUGUAGCGGUGAAAUGCGUAGAUAUCGGAAGGAACAUCAGUGGCGAAAGCGGCUUCCUGGUCCAGCAUCGACGUUCAGGCACGAAAGCGUGGGGAGCAAACAGG